CCUACGGGUGGCUGCAGUGGGGAAUAUUGGACAAUGGGGGGAACCCUGAUCCAGCCAUGCCGCGUGUGUGAAGAAGGCCCUCGGGUUGUAAAGCACUUUCAGUGAGGAAGAACGCCUGGUGGUUAAUACCCAUCAGGAAAGACAUCACUCACAGAAGAAGCACCGGCUAACUCCGUGCCAGCAGCCGCGGUAAUACGGAGGGUGCGAGCGUUAAUCGGAAUUACUGGGCGUAAAGCGCGCGUAGGUGGCUUGAUAAGCCGGUUGUGAAAGCCCCGGGCUCAACCUGGGAACGGCAUCCGGAACUGUCGAGCUAGAGUGCAGGAGAGGAAGGUAGAAUUCCCGGUGUAGCGGUGAAAUGCGUAGAGAUCGGGAGGAAUACCAGUGGCGAAGGCGGCCUUCUGGACUGACACUGACACUGAGGUGCGAAAGCGUGGGUAGCAAACAGGAUUAGAUACCCCGGUAGUC
RNAcentral lists this ribosomal RNA (465 nucleotides) under Vreelandella stevensii. RNAcentral's name for it is "partial 16S ribosomal RNA". It matches the Rfam family "Bacterial small subunit ribosomal RNA", at positions 338 to 795 of the family's 1533-position model. The record is from RNAcentral. Lineage: Bacteria; Pseudomonadati; Pseudomonadota; Gammaproteobacteria; Oceanospirillales; Halomonadaceae.